Molecule: ribosomal RNA, 468 nt
Filed under: uncultured bacterium
Lineage: Bacteria
Description: partial 16S ribosomal RNA
Rfam family: Bacterial small subunit ribosomal RNA
Source: RNAcentral
GACGAACGCUGGCGGUGUGCUUAACACAUGCAAGUCGAACGGUAAGGCCCUUUCGGGGGUACACGAGUGGCGAACGGGUGAGUAACACGUGAGUAACCUGCCCUCAUCUCUGGGAUAACAGUCGGAAACGGUUGCUAAUACUGGAUAUGAGCUUGCAAGGCAUCUUGUGGGUUGGAAAGAUUUUUUUUGGUUGGGGAUGGACUCGCGGCCUAUCAGCUUGUUGGUGAGGUAGUGGCUCACCAAGGCUUCGACGGGUAGCCGGCCUGAGAGGGCGACCGGCCAAAUUUGGACCGAGAUACGGGCCAAACCCCUACGGGGGGGAGCAGGGGGGAAUAUUGGACAAUGGACCGAAGGCCGGUGCAGCAACGCCGCGGGCGGGAUUACGGCCUUCGGGGUGUAAACCGCUUUCAAUUGUGACGAAGCUUUUUUGUGACGGUAGCAGUAGAAGAAGCACCGGCUAACUACGUG